AUAAAUGUCCCAAUAUCUAUUCAUUUAUCUAUUCACACAUUUUUUUAAACUAUACCUAUUACAAAUUAAAGGCAACUCUAUUUCUGUCAUCACAAUAAAACCUGGUCUUAGAAAUAAACAGGAAUAAAAAAAAAAAAUAAAAAAAAAGUAACAUAGAACAAAAUAUACAAGUAGUAGUUUUAUCUUUCUCAAAUUUUUAACAAACUAUAAUUACAAUCCAAUCACAUACAAUAAUAGUGAUAAAAAGUCAUAUGAGUCUAAACAGUAAUUAAAACAAUUCUUAAUUAUUCAGGUUUUAUACACGGUCUGGAAAAAGUCUGGAAUUUCAAACAUCAGAUUUCAUACUUUAAAAGUCUGGAAAAUUGAUACUUUUCAGGCGAAUUUUUUAAAAGUCUGGAAAAAAGUCUGGAAUUCGUUUUCACAAAAGUUAUAUGAACCGUGUUAAUACAUAAAUGAUUAAUAUAGAAACAUGAAUUUUGAAGCUACAGUAUUGUUAUUAGUAAGAACCAUACUAUAUUAUUAGCGAAAAUAGCAUAACAUUUUCUUGUGGAAAUCUGAUUGCUAAUUUAAAAAAAAUGAUUUGUGUAAUAUUCCAAACAAAGGUGAACCUUGGCAUGAUAAACAAAAAGCUACAACUGAAUGUAUUACUAACAUAGAAAAAAACAACUUUACAAUUUACUAGCUAAUCACAGAAAAAUAAAAAAUGAGGGCAAUGGUGUAAGUUGUACAUGGCAUGCAGCAUUUGAGCAUAGGUAUAAUAAGUUAUGCAUUUGGGAUUAAAACAAUGUUAAAGAAACAUUUAAGAACUGAAACAAAUCAUAUUAGCUUAAUAUUGUUCAUUUAUUUGGACCAAUGAAUGCACAAGAGAGUGACUAAGAAAAAUGUGCCACAAAAUGCAAACUUAGUAUCAGUAAGAUGGUUAUUGUAUUCUUUUCAGCAUAAUUACUCAAGCUUAAGAAUGUCUGACAGGCAAUAAAUUCCUUCCUGCCUAUGAUCAGUAAAGAUAAAGAUAGCAACCUUUGCUUAAAAAACAGUUUAAUUUGAUUAUUUGGCAUUCACUUGGGCUACAGAGGAGCCAGUCAGAGAAAGAGCUGUUCCUGAAUCACAGUUCUACACUAGUCAAGACUUUGUUUAUACAUUAUGAUUAUUGCUGUACCAUAGUAGCUUUGCUGUCAUAUAUACCAGUUAACACUGUUUUCAGAAUGAGCAAGUUAGAUAUACAGAUCUCAGCUGGGACUGCAUCCCUGGGAAAUAAUACACUCCUCCUUAAUCUUCAGACUCAAAGACAAGCUUCAUAUAUUUGCCAAACAUGAAUGUAUCAUGUGUGUAAC
Biomphalaria pfeifferi is the source of this 1331-nucleotide non-coding RNA. The record is from the annotation of a GenBank genome assembly. NCBI's taxonomy places the organism in Eukaryota, Metazoa, Mollusca, Gastropoda, Planorbidae.